AUGCCAGUCAAGAAGAAAGAUACUGACCGAGCUCUAGUGCUGCUGGAAGAAUAUUGUAAAAAACUAAGGAAGCCUGAAGAGCAACAACUGAAAAAAGCCAUCAGAAAGGUGAUGGGCAUCUUUAAGAGCAGCUUGUUUCAGGCACUUCUAGGUUCUUCCACUCCAGUAUUUUUCGCAGUUCAGCUUCAGUCAUCAGCCUGCACCGUAGGACCAUUAUUGACCCCUCUGGUUUGCUGCAUCACUCACACCACGGCACUUCUCAACAUCCUGGAGAAGUCAGUACUUCUGCUGUAAAGAAUGUGGAUAUAAAUUACUUCGAAUUGGUUCUGCUUGAGAAAAAGCUGUGUACUGUUGGAUAAGGUCCUGAAACGUAAUUUGAAAGCAUCAACAGCAGAAAAAAACAUCCUGAAGUGGGGGAAAGACACUCUUCUUGGACAUUACUCAUUUGAAUCAUGGAGCUAUAGAGGAGCAGAUAUUGGUAUGAUGCAGUCGAUGUGUGACAGAGUACCAAAUGGACAUUCUUGAAGUCAGCUCCAUCUUUCCUAUGACGUGACUAUUCUCUUAGUAGGCCAUAUAUUUUAGGAAAUCACUCAGCAUGUCUAUGAGCUUUCCCAGUCCUAAAUUCUUUUAGGCUGCGUAUUUCUUCUGGAGUCAAAAUUGGAGACAGCGUAGCCCAUGAGUUGCUGUGAAGGCAUCGAAGCAACAUUCCUCACUUUUAGGGGACUGGUGUGGUGGCAUACAGGAAUCUAAUGUUCCAUGCAAUUUAUGAUUUUCCAUUUUACUGAAGAAAUAAUUCUGUUUGUUUGUAGGUUUAUGAACUUGCAGUCUUGAGUGCAGAGUACUACAAGUCACAAAUCAUUUUAUCUAUUGGCUGUUCUGUCUUAAAUGAAGAAAUACUGUAUAUUGCUAAUAUCCUGAUCUCCAAGAGUUUGUAAGGAAAAAAAAAUUGAGUUUAAAUGUAAUUUUAAAAUAUUGGACAUUUAUUAUUAAAAUAUAUUUUUUUAGAAAAGAAAAGUAUCAGUUUUGUGAAUUAAUUCUUUUCUGACAGACACUGGAGAGGGAAGUGCUGUGGUGUUUCUCUUGAAAGAGGAAUACCUUUAAUCACAAGCCUCGGGAAGUGACUUGCGCUGU
This 1131-nucleotide long non-coding RNA is filed under the name Calidris pygmaea (Spoon-billed sandpiper). RNAcentral describes it as "lncRNA (ENSCPGG00000008651.1)". Lineage: Eukaryota; Metazoa; Chordata; Aves; Charadriiformes; Scolopacidae. The record is from RNAcentral.